RNAcentral lists this ribosomal RNA (479 nucleotides) under Mycobacterium nonchromogenicum. RNAcentral's name for it is "Mycolicibacter nonchromogenicus bacterial SSU rRNA". It matches the Rfam family "Bacterial small subunit ribosomal RNA", at positions 28 to 508 of the family's 1533-position model. Lineage: Bacteria; Bacillati; Actinomycetota; Actinomycetes; Mycobacteriales; Mycobacteriaceae. The record is from RNAcentral.
GACGAACGCUGGCGGCGUGCUUAACACAUGCAAGUCGAACGGAAAGGCCCCUUCGGGGGUACUCGAGUGGCGAACGGGUGAGUAACACGUGGGUGAUCUGCCCUGCACUUUGGGAUAAGCCUGGGAAACUGGGUCUAAUACCGAAUAGGACCGCAUGCUGCAUGGUGUGUGGUGGAAAGCUUUUGCGGUGUGGGAUGGGCCCGCGGCCUAUCAGCUUGUUGGUGGGGUAAUGGCCUACCAAGGCGACGACGGGUAGCCGGCCUGAGAGGGUGUCCGGCCACACUGGGACUGAGAUACGGCCCAGACUCCUACGGGAGGCAGCAGUGGGGAAUAUUGCACAAUGGGCGCAAGCCUGAUGCAGCGACGCCGCGUGGGGGAUGACGGCCUUCGGGUUGUAAACCUCUUUCAGUAUCGGCGAAGCUCCAAGGUUUUCUUUGGGGUGACGGUAGGUACAGAAGAAGCACCGGCCAACUACGUGC